AAAAAGUCAAUCCUGGUACUAUUCACUUUACCCUUUAUUUUGUCCUUAUCAUUAAAACUCAAAGUUUUCAAUCCCUUUUCAUUAGUUUUCCUUAAAAACAAUCAAGGAUUGCAAAGGAAGAGAAGAGAAGUGAGAAACUUGCUACUCUUGUAUAUAUUUAUCGUUGAGGAAGAGAAAGUUGUGAGAAAAUUGUACUAUUUUUAUUUUUAUUUUAUUAGAAAAUUCUUGUUUAUCCUUAUUAUAUAUAUAUAUAUAUAUAUUUCUUUCAAUAAGAGUAAAUUAAGAAAAUAGAGAAAUGGAAGCAUUUUCUACAAGGGUUGAGAAAGUCCAUUGCCCUAAAUAAUAGUAUAUAAAUAGCUAGAUAUAGUGAUUAAAAAAAAAAAGUAAUGUUAGGGAGACAAGAUUUAUAGACAGAAUAUAAAAACUAAAUGAUAUGUCAUGAACAUAAUAUCAACGCUUAAGUAAUAAUCUAAUCAUCAACUUCCAUGUUAUUUCGUGUACAAAAUUUUAUUUACAAAUUUAGUCUCCUUAGCAUUACCUUAAAAAAAAAGCUAGAUAUAGUUAAAAUCUUUACCGACCGACCCUCCUUGUUUGCAUAUGAACAUCCAACACUAGUAUCAGAACGUAUCUAAUUAAAUCAUCUUAUUCUAACCACAUAGCUAAUAUAGCUAAGUCUGAAAUUUGGGACCAGUUGAUCAUGAGGAGCUGCAGUUGCUUUUGGCUACUAGCUAGGUAAACACAAUUAGGCUGCUAAGAUCUGGUUAUAUAUAGUAAUCUUGUUGGGAUUUAUAGUAACAUAUAGUUCGCGUUUCACAUUGAUCUAGAUCAUUAUCUGUCAAUUUUUACAAAUGGGCCUAACUAAGGUGGAGGAGGGACGUGCUGGUAGUUUUCCGAGUGUAAAGGUCCUCAUCCUGUGAGAGAGUCAUGACUCAUAACCAUUGCCGAUGAACUAAUAUCGUCUAAUCCUUCAAUUUCAAAUUGGUGGAGUCUUAACUAUUAUCUACUACCCUAGCUACUAGCCCAAGCCACGUACGGUCCUCUUUCUUUUCUUUUGUUUUUUCUUUUUCUUUUUCGGUGCUGAUAAAAACUUUGAUAUAUAGCAAACAAGGAUGCAGAUUGUCCCCAAAGCAUCAAAACACAGACGAAUAGAAUUUAGCUACUAGCUAAGAAAUGAGAUUUUUGAAUUUAGUCCAGGUUCGAGUAAUCUCCAUAUGAUCGCGAUCUAAGUUUGAAUCUGGAAAGCAUGUGUAGUCAAGGAGAGAGUAAGUUUUCUUCGAAAAUAUUUUGUGUGACCCCACAUGUUCUAGGCGUGAACUGAAGAACCUAUAAGUGAAGAAAUAAUGGAUAUCUAAUGAUGGUAGGUGGAAGGAGUCAUAUCGAAAUGCUUGACUUGCCUGUGAUGAUGUUGUGUAGAAUUCCCUUCAAUGAACCUAAGUUCUUGAAGCCCUAAUUCAGACAACAAAUUAUAGGGCUGUCUUUUUAUUAAAGACCUUAUAUAAUUAUAUCCACCAAUUCAAGUUGUUGCAAUGACCAAGAUUAUCACUACUAAACCCUAAAAAAGCCAGAGAAGAUAAACACUGUUGUAAUUUUUAGGGCAAAAGACUGUUUACUACCCUCAUGUUUCAUGGUUUUCAAUAUUUAGUACAUCAAUUUUUUUUCGUCCCAGAGUCAUACCUAAAGUGUAAAUUUUGGGACAGUUUCAUACAUCCGUUAGUCAAACUGUUAAUUCUCCCGUUAAGUGAUGAUGUGGCGCCCAUGUGGACAAUGACUGGGCGCCACGUGUCAUUAAAAUAUUAAAUUAUUAUUAUUAUUAUUAUAAUAUAUAUAUAUAAAACCUGUCGUCUUCCCCACCCCGACCCCCCUUCCCUUCUCUCUCCAACCCCCAACCUCUGCACCUUCCCCCACCCAGAAACUGGACUCGACAAAAUACCCUUCUCUUCUUUACACCUACCCAACCCCAACCUCUGCACCUUCCCCCACCCCGAAACUGGACUUAACCAAAUGCAAGAUCCAGCCAACCCGAAACCGGAUCCGAGCUCCAGCUCUCAAGACACAUGGCGCAGCCGUUGCCAGACGCAACUCCGAGCGCCCCGUUCCGGGGCUCCUACCACCGCCGAACCCAAUCCGAGAUCCAUUUUCUGAUCCCGACGACCUGGAUCUGCUUUAGGACCUGUUCGAAGCCCAUCCUGCAGCUUCGAGGAGCUGGGCGGCUCUGAGGACAAAAUCUUCGGCACCUGCUGGACAUGGAGAAGCUUGGAUCCAAACUCGAUGAUGGACCCUCCAAUCGACUGUGCUUGGGAGAGAGAGGUGAAGAGGGAGGGUGCUUGGGAGAGAGAGGUGAAGAGGGAGGAAUGAGGGGGAUCGGGGAAGAGGGACAGGGGGUGGGGUUGGGUUAGGGUGCAGGAUAAAGAGAAGGAAGAGGGGGUAGGGUUAGGAGAGGAAUGGUGGAGGAGGUGGUGGUUGUGGACAAGGGGGGAUAAAAAUAGGGGAGAGAAAAGGGGGAGCCGAAGAGAAUGUUGCAGAGGGAAGAAGGAAGGGAGGUGGAAGACGGGUUAAUUUACUUGAUUUGGAUGUGCAGUAGGGGAAUAUAGGGGGUGGGGGAAGGUGCAGAGGUUGGGGGUUGGGUAGGUGCAGAGAAGAGAAGGGAGAGAGAAGGG
RNAcentral lists this long non-coding RNA (2657 nucleotides) under Malus domestica (apple). RNAcentral's name for it is "long non-coding RNA (MDOM_LNC001618)". The record is from RNAcentral. Lineage: Eukaryota; Viridiplantae; Streptophyta; Magnoliopsida; Rosales; Rosaceae.